Non-coding RNA from Macaca mulatta (Rhesus monkey), 331 nucleotides. The record is from RefSeq and is a predicted model, not a curated record. NCBI's taxonomy places the organism in Eukaryota, Metazoa, Chordata, Mammalia, Primates, Cercopithecidae.
GCUAAGACACUUUGCUAACCACCAGUGAGAAACAAAGGACUCAGGCACAGGCUGGAGUUCUUCCAUGACUCAUUGCAGGGUGAGUCGCCACAGCAGGUGUGGUUCAAGGGAGCAGAAUGAGUCAGAUGUGGGAAAACAAGAUCAGUACAAGGGAGUAAUGUCUAACACCAGUUGUGAAAGGUUUUAAGGCAGAAAGGCUUAUCUGUUGAUGGCAUGUGAAGAGCUUCAAAUCCGUGUCGGCAGUCACCCUGGGCAAUUACAGUAUUUGAGAAACAGAAUUUGGAAACCAACUAACACCUGGAGGUUGAUGCUUUGUUUACAGCCAUGGCAG